This 497-nucleotide ribosomal RNA is filed under the name uncultured bacterium. RNAcentral describes it as "partial 16S ribosomal RNA". It matches the Rfam family "Bacterial small subunit ribosomal RNA", at positions 28 to 507 of the family's 1533-position model. The record is from RNAcentral.
GACGAACGCUGGCGGCGUGCCUAAUACAUGCAAGUAGAACGCUGAAGAGAGGAGCUUGCUCUUCUUGGAUGAGUUGCGAACGGGUGAGUAACGCGUAGGUAACCUGCCUUGUAGCGGGGGAUAACUAUUGGAAACGAUAGCUAAUACCGCAUAACAAUGGAUGACACAUGUCAUUUAUUUGAAAGGGGCAAUUGCUCCACUACAAGAUGGACCUGCGUUGUAUUAGCUAGUAGGUGAGGUAAUGGCUCACCUAGGCGACGAUACAUAGCCGACCUGAGAGGGUGAUCGGCCACACUGGGACUGAGACACGGCCCAGACUCCUACGGGAGGCAGCAGUAGGGAAUCUUCGGCAAUGGGGGCAACCCUGACCGAGCAACGCCGCGUGAGUGAAGAAGGUUUUCGGAUCGUAAAGCCCUGUUGUAAGUCAAGAACGGGUGUGAGAGUGGAAAGUUCACACUGUGACGGUAGCUUACCAGAAAGGGACGGCUAACUACGUG